AGAGUUUGAUCAUGGCUCAGGACGAACGCUGGCGGCGCGCCUAACACAUGCAAGUCGAACGGAGUCAAGAGAAGCUUGCUUUUCUUGACUUAGUGGCGAACGGGUGAGUAACGCGUGAGUAACCUGCCCUGGAGUGGGGGGACAACAGUUGGAAACGACUGCUAAUACCGCAUAAGCCCACGGCCCGGCCAUCGGGCGUGAGGGAAAAGGGAAUUUAUUCGCUUCAGGAUGGACUCGCGUCCAAUUAGCUAGUUGGUGAGG
This 261-nucleotide ribosomal RNA is filed under the name uncultured bacterium. RNAcentral describes it as "partial 16S ribosomal RNA". It matches the Rfam family "Bacterial small subunit ribosomal RNA", at positions 8 to 257 of the family's 1533-position model. The record is from RNAcentral.